This is a transfer RNA of Exophiala mesophila, 81 nucleotides long. It matches the Rfam family "tRNA". Rfam says of the family: Transfer RNA (tRNA) molecules are approximately 80 nucleotides in length. The record is from Rfam. NCBI's taxonomy places the organism in Eukaryota, Fungi, Ascomycota, Eurotiomycetes, Chaetothyriales, Herpotrichiellaceae.
GGGGUUGUAGCUCAGGGGUAGAGCGCUCGCUUUGCAUCUUAAGCCUGCGAGAGGCCCGGAGUUCGAAUCUCCGCUGCUCCA